UUCGAUUCUGGCUCAGGAUUAACGCUGGCGGCGUGCCUAACACAUGCAAGUCGAACGAAAUAUCUUCGGAUAUUUAGUGGCGAACGGGUGAGUAAUGUACAGGUAAUGUACCUUCGUACUGCGAAUAACAAGCUGAAAAGUUUGCUAAUACGGAAUAGUUUCAUUAGGGGGCAUCCUUUGAUGAAUAAAGAUUUAUCGUGCGGAGAUCAGCCUGUAUCCUAUUAGUUAGUUGGUGGGGUAAUGGCCUACCAAGACGGCGAUGGGUAACUGGUCUGAGAGGAUGAGCAGUCACAUUGGAACUGAGAUACGGUCCAAACUCCUACGGGAGGCAGCAGUGAGGAAUUUUGCGCAAUGGGGGAAACCCUGACGCCAGCAACGCCGCGUGAGUGAAGACGGCCUUCGGGUUGUAAAGCUCUGUCGUGUGUGACGAGUAGGGACGGUAACACACAAGGAAGCCUCGGCUAACUACGUGCCAGCCGCGGC
RNAcentral lists this ribosomal RNA (483 nucleotides) under uncultured bacterium. RNAcentral's name for it is "bacterial SSU rRNA". It matches the Rfam family "Bacterial small subunit ribosomal RNA", at positions 12 to 518 of the family's 1533-position model. The record is from RNAcentral.